RNAcentral lists this ribosomal RNA (552 nucleotides) under bacterium amp-d-9. Its description in RNAcentral is "bacterial SSU rRNA". It matches the Rfam family "Bacterial small subunit ribosomal RNA", at positions 49 to 597 of the family's 1533-position model. The record is from RNAcentral.
CUACACAUGCAGUCGAGCGGUAGAGAGAAGCUUGCUUCUCUUGAGAGCGGCGGACGGGUGAGUAAUGCCUAGGAAUCUGCCUGGUAGUGGGGGAUAACGUUCGGAAACGGACGCUAAUACCGCAUACGUCCUACGGGAGAAAGCAGGGGACCUUCGGGCCUUGCGCUAUCAGAUGAGCCUAGGUCGGAUUAGCUAGUUGGUGAGGUAAUGGCUCACCAAGGCGACGAUCCGUAACUGGUCUGAGAGGAUGAUCAGUCACACUGGAACUGAGACACGGUCCAGACUCCUACGGGAGGCAGCAGUGGGGAAUAUUGGACAAUGGGCGAAAGCCUGAUCCAGCCAUGCCGCGUGUGUGAAGAAGGUCUUCGGAUUGUAAAGCACUUUAAGUUGGGAGGAAGGGUUGUAGAUUAAUACUCUGCAAUUUUGACGUUACCGACAGAAUAAGCACCGGCUAACUCUGUGCCAGCAGCCGCGGUAAUACAGAGGGUGCAAGCGUUAAUCGGAAUUACUGGGCGUAAAGCGCGCGUAGGUGGUUUGUUAAGUUGGAUGUGA